AAAAAUUUAGUUAAAUAAUAACAUUAGUUUGUCAAACUAAAAUUAUCUUUGGAUAAUUUUUA
RNAcentral lists this transfer RNA (62 nucleotides) under Pyrrhalta aenescens. Its description in RNAcentral is "tRNA-Asp". Lineage: Eukaryota; Metazoa; Arthropoda; Insecta; Coleoptera; Chrysomelidae. The record is from RNAcentral.